RNAcentral lists this small RNA (824 nucleotides) under Pan troglodytes (chimpanzee). Its description in RNAcentral is "retained intron". Lineage: Eukaryota; Metazoa; Chordata; Mammalia; Primates; Hominidae. The record is from RNAcentral.
UGCCAAGUCGGACACGACCUAAGAGCCCAAGAAAACAUAAUUAUAGGAAUGAAAGUGCCCGUGAAAGCCUUUGUGAUUCUCCUCAUCAGAAUCUCUCAAGACCUCUUCUGGAAAACAAACUUAAAGCAUUCAGUAUUGGAAAAAUGAGUACAGCUAAGCGAACUUUAAGUAAAAAGGAACAGGAAGAAUUAAAGAAAAAGGAGGAUGAAAAGGCAGCUGCUGAGAUUUAUGAGGAGUUUCUUGCUGCUUUUGAAGGAAGUGAUGGUAAUAAAGUGAAAACAUUUGUGCGAGGGGGUGUUGUUAAUGCAGCUAAAGAAGAACAUGAAACAGAUGAAAAAAGAGGUAAAAUCUAUAAGCCAUCUUCAAGAUUUGCAGAUCAAAAAAAUCCUCCAAAUCAGUCUUCCAAUGAAAGACCACCAUCUCUUCUUGUGAUAGAAACCAAAAAACCUGUAAGUCAUACUUAAGUAAUUGACCAUUUAUGUUCAGAGAUGACACUGCCAGUGAUACUUCCACUGUAAGCAAGACUUUGGCUUUUUUUCGUUUUUGGUGGGGGCAGGGUGGUAGAUGUUAAGUUUUGAUGCUUUCUAACCCAGUAAUUUACUUAGAUGAGAGAUAAUGAAUUGGGACACAUAGAUGAUAUUCUUUUUAUGCUUUUUGAGCAGUGAACAUUUGCUAUUUAUGCUCAUAAUAUAUUGCAAGUCAAAAAUUGACUAUAUUGCAAGUCAAAAAUUGACUAUAUUUGACUUGCAGUGGGGUUGUCUUUUUAAGCAUUUCCGAACUGAGGUAUUUAAAUUAUUAGUAUGUGUAGUGUAUAUUUCCCAGAA